Mustela erminea (ermine) is the source of this 669-nucleotide long non-coding RNA. RefSeq lists it as uncharacterized. The record is from RefSeq and is a predicted model, not a curated record. The transcript is spliced from 3 exons. NCBI's taxonomy places the organism in Eukaryota, Metazoa, Chordata, Mammalia, Carnivora, Mustelidae.
GGUCUCCAGGGAAGAUCCUACCUUGCCUCUUCUCACUCAUUAGAGGCCCAGAAUCAAGAGUCAUGUAAAGCCAGACCUUGUUUUAAAAAAAAUAAAGAAAGAAAGAAGAAGAAGGAAAAAAAAAAGAAAGAAAAAGCCAAGCCUGGGUUUAUUUCUCUAUUACCUGUGACUUGAAUAAGAAAAGACAGAGCUUUACCUCUUCUCUGCUGCUUUCUUUCUCAGUUCUUGCUGUGGCCAAAGAGCUGCACGGAUUCCAGAGUCUUUGUCAUUUCGGGAUAAACCCAGCAGAAGAAGAACUCCAUCAGGCAGUUCCCACACCAGAGCGAAGUUGCAGAGUACUUUUUGCAGCGAACUUGGUAGAGUACUUUUGGUCACAUCCUAUCCUUCAACCUAUCACUGUGACCAGGAAUGGAUGAUGUGCUGAAUGACUUACAGUGAUUUAAAGACUGAGACCAAAGAUAGGGUGGAAGCCCAGAUGAAAUUUUAGGGUUGUUGAAGAAGGGAGGCUGGAUGUUGGCAAAGCAAGUGCUAAACAUCCAUUGGAGGCCAAUGCAUUUUAAACAGUUGUCUAAAACGCCCUUGCUAUAACUAGGACUUGAACUAAUUAUAAGAAAAUUUUAUAGAAUGGAAGCACAGACGGAUGACUGGGUGUCUCAGUCGGUCAAGCAU